Molecule: ribosomal RNA, 457 nt
Filed under: uncultured Desulfocapsa sp.
Lineage: Bacteria; Pseudomonadati; Thermodesulfobacteriota; Desulfobulbia; Desulfobulbales; Desulfocapsaceae
Description: bacterial SSU rRNA
Rfam family: Bacterial small subunit ribosomal RNA
Source: RNAcentral
GCACAAGCGGUGGAUGAUGUGGUUUAAUUCGAUGCAACGCGAAAACCUUACCACCUUUGACAUGUACGGAACCCUUUAGAGAUAGAGGGGUGCUCGAAAGAGAGCCGUAACACAGGUGCUGCAUGGCUGUCGUCAGCUCGUGUCGUGAGAUGUUGGGCUAAGUCCCGCAACGAGCGCAACCCUUGUCAUUAGUUGCUACAUUCAGUUGGGCACUCUAAUGAGACUGCCGGUGUCAAACCGGAGGAAGGUGGGGAUGACGUCAAGUCCUCAUGGCCUUUAUGACCAGGGCUACACACGUACUACAAUGGCCGGUACAAAGGGCAGCGACACAGCGAUGUGAAGCCAAUCCCGAAAAGCCGGUCUCAGUCCGGAUUGGAGUCUGCAACUCGACUCCAUGAAGUUGGAAUCGCUAGUAAUCGCGGAUCAGCACGCCGCGGUGAAUACGUUCCCGGGCCUU